Molecule: non-coding RNA, 491 nt
Organism: Caretta caretta (loggerhead turtle)
Lineage: Eukaryota; Metazoa; Chordata; Testudines; Cheloniidae
Source: RefSeq, a predicted model, not a curated record
GCAACUGUUCCUCAAAGAGCCUUAGAAGCAUCUUCUGUUGUGGCCAUGCAAAUUGUAAAAUGCUAACAUUCAGACACCAUUGGUGAGUCCCUUCUGCUCCCAACAGCAAUAGAAGUCUAGAAUUGUGAUUGAAGCGCAAGCGACCAUGGCACUGAAAACCAUUUCGAUGUCAAACUAAGACGCAGAAGACAGAGAGGGCAUCAAUUGUUAGAGAGCACAGUGACCAGAGAUCACAUGCAUACCCAACAAGCAAGGUUGACAGAUACUGUAGAUAGAUACUGAGCUAACCUACCAGGUCAACUAAAUUCUCCACUCAAAUGGUUGCCAUUGUUUCCCUGACUUGAAAUUCUCCAAUAGCACCCUGGCCCCCACUUUGGACAUCAGGUCACAUAUUGAUGUUACUUGGACACAGAGAUGAACAGAUUAAUAGUCAGCUCACAGGAAUUGUGGCACUGCGGACAGCCUAAUACAUGCUGCUUUUCACACAGACU